GGCCCGGUAGCUCAGUCGGUAGAGCAGAGGAUUGAAAAUCCUUGUGUCGGUGGUUCGAUUCCGCCCCAGGCCACCA
Molecule: transfer RNA, 76 nt
Filed under: Thiobacillus sp.
Lineage: Bacteria; Pseudomonadati; Pseudomonadota; Betaproteobacteria; Nitrosomonadales; Thiobacillaceae
Also listed under: 258 other names
Description: tRNA-Phe
Rfam family: tRNA
About the family: Transfer RNA (tRNA) molecules are approximately 80 nucleotides in length. Their secondary structure includes four short double-helical elements and three loops (D, anti-codon, and T loops).
Source: RNAcentral